RNAcentral lists this ribosomal RNA (318 nucleotides) under uncultured bacterium. RNAcentral's name for it is "bacterial SSU rRNA". It matches the Rfam family "Bacterial small subunit ribosomal RNA", at positions 29 to 372 of the family's 1533-position model. The record is from RNAcentral.
AACGAACGCUGGCGGCAGGCCUAAAACAUGCAAGUCGAGCGGGCAUAGCAAUAUGUCAGCGGCGGACGGGUGAAUAACACGUGGGAACAUGCCCUUUGGUACGGAACAACUCAGGGAAACUUGAGCUAAUACCGUAUGUGCCGGUAACGGGAAAGAUUUAUCGCCAAAGGAUUGGCCCGCGUCCGAUUAGCUAGUUGGUGAGGUAACGGCUCACCAAGGCGACGAUCGGUAGCUGGUUUGAGAGAACGAUCAGCCACACUGGGACUGAGACACGGCCCAGACUCCUACGGGAGGCAGCAGUUGGGAAUCUUGGACAAU